CCUACGGGAGACAGCAGUGAGGAAUAUUGGUCAAUGGACGAGAGUCUGAACCAGCCAAGUAGCGUGAAGGAUGACUGCCCUAUGGGUUGUAAACUUCUUUUAUAAAGGAAUAAAACGAGGCACGUGUGCCUGUUUGCAUGUACUUUAUGAAUAAGGAUCGGCUAACUCCGUGCCAGCAGCCGCGGUAAUACGGAGGAUCCGAGCGUUAUCCGGAUUUAUUGGGUUUAAAGGGUGCGUAGAUGGGUUGUUAAGUCAGUUGUGAAAGUUUGCGGCUCAUCCGUAAAAUUGCAAUUGAUACUGGCAGUCUUGAGUACAGUUGAGGUAGGCGGAAUUCGUGGUGUAGCGGUGAAAUGCUUAGAUAUCACGAAGAACCCCGAUUGCGAAGGCAGCUUACUAAACUGUGACUGACAUUGAUGCUCGAAAGUGUGGGUAUCAAACAGGAUUAGAUACCCCUGUAGUC
RNAcentral lists this ribosomal RNA (460 nucleotides) under uncultured bacterium. Its description in RNAcentral is "partial 16S ribosomal RNA". It matches the Rfam family "Bacterial small subunit ribosomal RNA", at positions 338 to 795 of the family's 1533-position model. The record is from RNAcentral.